Vicia faba (fava bean) is the source of this 330-nucleotide non-coding RNA. The record is from the annotation of a GenBank genome assembly. Lineage: Eukaryota; Viridiplantae; Streptophyta; Magnoliopsida; Fabales; Fabaceae.
AUGAAAUUGCCAUUGGGUCCAGAAAUAGUCAGUCCAGGCAACUUGUCUGUUCCGCUAACGGGUUCUCCGAUAUCGGGCUUGGGCCUGUAUUUGUUAUUACAAAAAAAAGUACAAUUUUGUGUCAUUUAUGCUAGGGUUCAGAAGAGUGAUUGUUGGACUUCUUCCAUAAACGAAACCUUCUCCCUUUUCUCUCUUGUGGCGCUCAAUUUCACUUCUCCUUCUUCUUCGUUCAUCACCUUCCACUACCGUGACACCGUGGCUCGAUACGAUUCUCGCUAUCUCACUCUCUUUUUUACGCGAUUCAACCUUGCUUUCAACCUAAACUCUUAG